RNAcentral lists this unclassified non-coding RNA (226 nucleotides) under uncultured Geminibasidium. RNAcentral's name for it is "sequence contains ITS2". The record is from RNAcentral. Lineage: Eukaryota; Fungi; Basidiomycota; Geminibasidiomycetes; Geminibasidiales; Geminibasidiaceae.
ACACCUCAACCCUCCAAUGUUUUUGCAUUGAAGGUGUUGGUAGUGAGCGCUGCCGGACUUUUGGUCGGCUCGCUUUAAAAUCAUUAGCUGGAUCCAUUCUGGCCUAGUUCUACUCGGCGUAAUGAGUUAUUAUCGUCGAGGACGCUUGUCUUUCUAGGCAGGCGGCCACAGUAAGGGUGUUUGAACCGCUUCCAACACGUCUUGCUCCUGUAGCAAACACUUGAAC